Molecule: ribosomal RNA, 436 nt
Filed under: uncultured bacterium
Lineage: Bacteria
Description: bacterial SSU rRNA
Rfam family: Bacterial small subunit ribosomal RNA
Source: RNAcentral
AGGCAGCAGUAAGGAAUAUUGCACAAUGGAGGAAACUCUGAUGCAGCGACGCCGCGUGAGUGACGAAGGCCUUCGGGUUGUAAAGCUCUGUUCUCAGGGAAAAAGCAAGUGAUUGUACCUGAGGAGAAAGGACCGGCUAACUUCGUGCCAGCAGCCGCGGUAAGACGAGGGGUCCAAGCGUUGUUCGGAAUCAUUGGGCGUAAAGCGGGUGUAGGUGGCUUUGUAAGUCAGGAGUGAAAUCCCCGAGCUUAACUUGGGAAGUGCUUUUGAAACUGCAAAGCUUGAAUGUGGGAGAGGAUCGUGGAAUUCCAGGUGUAGUGGUGAAAUACGUAGAUAUCUGGAGGAACACCGGUGGCGAAGGCGGCGGUCUGGCCCAACAUUGACACUGAGACCCGAAAGCGUGGGGAUCAAACAGGAUUAGAUACCCUAGUAGUCC